UCUGUCAAGGAGCUGGUGCAGAAGAGGAACGAUGGCUCCAAGAAGCCCCAGGCCACAUUGUCUUCUAGCAAACAGUACUGAGCACUUUAUUCAGAUGUGACAAAGCACAUGACAAGCUGUACAUGUCUCUUCCUCAGGAAAAUCUUUCUGGCAGAGAUGGCCAGUGACACAGAUUGUUCUCUUUCCCUACAAAUGCUCUAUGAUAAAAAAAUGUCUACUUCUGCAUUACACUGAACACAACUUCUUUGGAGGGGUUUUCACAACUGAGAGACAAAAAGACCCCAUUGGUUGCAGCUCAGACGAUCCAGUGCAGUGGCAAGGGCAGUGGUAUGGAGGCUGUGACAGGGCCAAGUUUCUGCUGCCUGACUUGGGACAAGGAAAUUCAACCAGGGCUUUUUUUUCAUCUGAGUGGAGUCUUUUCCUGAUGGGUGUUUUGAUGAGAAGUCUCAGUCUAGAAGCAGGAUGCCAUUCCACAAAGAUGCAGUUCUCAUGCAUGUGGUUUGGCCUGGCUGAAUCAUGGUUUUCUUACCCUGAAACAGGAUCAAGUUUGAGUAGUAAGUAGCAAUGCAAUUCCUGAUCAACUUCAGGCAACAGGUGUCUCAAUGUGGACUUUUUGUCUUGAUAUUCCUGUCCUUCAUCUGAUUUGCUUGAUGGAGACAGCAUGUUUGGUUUCCUUUGUCCUGUGCUGCAAUCAGCAUUUAAGACAGGAAUUUGGUCCUUGCUGUCUCUUCACGGCAGUUGCAGAGCUACUUGUACCUGUUCUCCUCUGAUCACAGAGGGGAUUUAUUUAGCUCUGUCACGCUCAGCAGUGGCAGGAAAGUGACCACAUGCCUCAGUAGCAUAGCUAGCAUCUUUCCAUGCUCAUGCAAGAGACAGGUUGAUCCAGGAGAAUUGUUCCCAGGGGGGUUGUUAAGCUGUGGAUCUAGUCUCUAGGGAAGCAAAUGAAAUGUGAGCAUAGUUCUGGGGUGUCUGGCUUCUGUUUUUAUCUCUGUGACUGAUUUUCUGAAUCCUUCACAUAUGACCCUGUUCAUCUGUUCAGAUGCAUCUGAGCUAUUUUUGCAGAUUGUCAUGCCUGGUUGUAGAGACACUUCUCCAGAGUGAUGAGUUUCCUUAUUAUGAGACAAAAACAUCCCAUAUGAGGAGCCACUUAAACUUGGAAGUAGUGUAUCUCUUUCUCCACAAAGCAAUGUGACCUGUGUGCCUUGGCAGCCAUCUGAAGAUAGAUCAGAUGCAUCUUAUCCUUGCUUUUUCUGAGUGAGCACUGGCGAGAAUGUUCCUUGCAGAUUGUCUCCCAAAAUGAUUGUCAUGAGGUCCACGUUGUUUUUCAGAGCCUCAUGACUUUCCAGCUUGAAAUCACAUCAUUAGAAAAGCUACUGAAGAUGUUUUGCUCACAAUUUACUGAAGGUAUUAUCACCAACAGGUCCUCAUUUGGUUUUAUUUUCCAGGGUGAAAUCUACCUCUGAUGGAUGCCUCCUACACCGUGCACAAGCCCAGGUCACGUUACCUCCGGUUGAGGAAGAAACAGAGCUGCUCCAGAAGCUUUACAAUCUCCUGGAGGCCAAGGGGUUUCAGACGCGCAUGGAAGGAGUGUCACUCCUCCAAGACCUGUGCAAAACCAGCCCCCAGCUCAUCUCCACUAACAUUGUCCAAAUUUUUGAUUAUUUUGUCCUGAGAAUAUCUGACAGCCACAAGAAAGUGAAGCAGAAGGCGCUGGACGUGCUGGCUGAAAUCACAGGCAUCCUGAAAGAUGCCUUGAACCCGGUGAUCAUUGGUUUGGUGGAAGGAAUAACGAAGAACCUGAACUCCAAGGAUCCCAGGGUUCGUGCUGCAGCUGUGAAAGCGCUGGAAGAAUCCAUUGCUCAUUUAGGUAAGGCUGAGCCCUGGCAUGGACUCUCCUCACCUGUGUCUCUGUCUCUCCGACACAAGAGAGUGCUGAGUGCAUUGAUAGCUGCUGUUGUCUGUGGAAAGCUCCAGCUGGCAUCCCCCAGAAGCUGUGCAGGUGCAGUCCUUAUGCACCAGUCCCCCAACAGGCUUGAACGUGAUCAGCAUUUCCCAAAAGUCCCAGGAGCCCUUGGCUCUGUGCUGCCUGUCUGAAGAGCAAGUCCCAGACUACAGCUUUGCUACAGUUCAGAGGCAAAGGGGGUUUGGAGUUUGCUUGGGCCCCGUUUGACUUCCCAAAUGAAUAGCUUUGCUCUUGGCAUGAAGGGAGACUGACCCAUCAGAGCUCCUGCAGAGCAGCCACCGGGAAUGCUCUACAUGAUAGGCAUUAGCUGCCUAUUUUCCCCUUUUCUUCUUUGUCUUCUAUUUUCAAAGGGGAACUUAGGAUUCGCCAAGUUCAUUUCUUUAUAACAAAUAGGUAUAAACCCAGCUGUCAAUGGUGCCCUGUUCCACAUGUUGUUUUGCAUGGGGCAAGAUGUCUACAGCAGUUAGCUACAUAGGCAAAGGCUGCUCUCAAUUCCUUUGCCACACAGAUUUAUGUCAGCUCUGAAAAUGCCACACUGAGGAAAUAUGCCUGAAAAUAGGAGUGUUGAAGAGGCAGGUGUUCAAGGGGAGUUGCCACUUUCUCCUCCUCAGCUGCUCUGUGAAUUCAGGAACUGCCUGACUCGGUGCCUUUCUGUGUCCCAAGUAUGGGGUUCUUCCUUUUUGCUCUGGGAUGCAAAACCAUUUCACUACUUACAUGUGACUGAACUCUUGAUGUCCCUGAUGGGAAAUGUUUUAACAUAGCUCCUGAUACAGCAGACAACUUUGCAUUUACAAAUGUGAAAGGAGAGCUUUUCUUUUGCAAUUUAAAUCCCUGCCAAGCAGGCUGGAAGGAAAGAAGAAAAGGAUUCAAAAACCAGCAGAAAUGUACUUUAUUUUAUAGAAUGGGGUUGCCCCUACCCUUUCCCUCUGCACUGUCCUUUCUCCUAUGGUCUCAGAAAAGUGAGCAGAAACAUGUGUUUCACUUGUAGAUAAGGUAUCACUGCUGAAAGAGUUCAGCUACCAGUGGAAUCAACUGAGUGGCCAAGCUCUGCUGGAUGUCACGGAGUGUAUCACAGGUAUGGCCUCCCCUUCUAGGCCAAGAGGUCUUCCCAGGGAGUAUUUACAGGCAAUGCCUGUGAACAGACAGCAGAGUAGCUCCUCCAAACCAGGAGGUGCUGAGCUUGUCCCUCCUGCCCAGUGCCCAAGGCAGGUGUAUUUGGCAGGUUUCCCUGGCUGCUGCAGAGCUGUGCAGCACCUGAGAUGGGGGCAGAGCUCGGCCUCGGGGCUGAGCUCCCACUGGGGCAUCUCAGAACCCAGCUCCAGGAAAGGGAGGGACUCAAAAUACCCCAGCUGGCUCCUCUCUUGGAAGCUCAGGGACAUCUGUCAUCUUUUCGGGAAAAUGGUGCCAAAUGCUGUUUCAGGGGAUCAGUUUGUUUUGUCCUCACAGAACUCUUGUUUUUCUCUUGGAAAGCUUUGAGGCUGAACUGUGCAGAGCCUGGGGUCACAGCUUAGGUCAAAACUCAACAGAUGUAUUAGAGGCAGGGAUUUAGUGCAAGGCAGCCUUUGGGGGCAGAGGGGCAGAAGCAGAGUGCUGAGGCUUCCUGCCUGUGCUGUCAAAGUGGCGCUGGACUGAGCAUUUCAGGGUGUGCAAACAGUGUCUGCCUGUGUCAGCACUGUCCCAAAUGUUACAAAUGCAGCUGAUAAUUGAUUCCUCAGAGGUGCUUGCUAUGUCAGCAAUAGCCAAGGAAUGGGAAAAUUAUAAUCCCAAUAUAUAGUAGAACAGACUAUUGAUAGCCUUGCUUUAACUGGGGCUAAAGCCACUGCUAAUUAGGCCAACAUCUUUGAAUGCAAGGUUUAAUACACUUUGUGUCUUCAUUGGGAAUCUCAAAAGGGCAUGUUCAGCAAUUGGGAAUGUCAAAGGCCCUUUAAAGAGCUUUGAAAAAAGUAGAUCUCCAGCAACAGGGAAUUUAGUUUUACAGAUCUUUUGAUCUCUUUUUCAAAUAAAGGAAUGAAACAUAAAUUAGGACUACUUUAGAAAAAGUAGAUGUUCUCUCUGAGAUUCAGUAGGAAGAGACAGCUGUUCCUUACCUUCAAUAGUCACCAAUGUCUUUAAUUGCAUUUAAACUCAAAUGAAUUCCCAUGUUAAAAUGGGUAUCAUAACCCUUUUCCUGCUUAGCACAAUUGGGGUUUGGGUACUUUCAGGAGCUGUUUUAAUAUUGAUGACUGCCAGUGGAUUAAAAGCAUAGAGAAAAUGAAGUCUCUUCCACCACAGAAUAAUAAAUGGCUACUAGAUAACAUUUUGCCUGAUCAGAAAAUAAGAAUGGUCUCCAGAGCUUUUCAGGAUUUGAGCUUUCAGCCAAAUCUGCCAUGCAAGGAGCCUGUUGGUAGUAAAUUUUUGUCUGUGUUUGACAUAGUUUGGUUCAGAAAAUGAGCAGAGAGCAGUUUUCAGAGACAAUAUGAGAAAAUACUUGUGUUUUGGAUGAAUUUCAGUCCCUUGUGUAGCAUUUUGCUCUCUCUAUGCCCCUAGUUCAGUGGACAUUAUAAGAAAAAAUGCCAUUAAGAUUGGGAGGGGAAAUGGCAUUAAAAUGUGGAGAUGCUCAAAUGCCAUAGCAAUGGGGUCUGGAUAAUUCUCUAAGGCACCCUGAGGUUUGAAACAGCUGCUUGUUGGAAGCCCCAGAAGCAUUCUGCCAAAGACACCAGCUAGUCACUGAUGUUUCCAAUCCAACUGUCAAGCAGCAGCCAUCUCUGGUGGGCUGGAGUUUUGAGGUGUGUUCUAAUCCUGCCCUUUGCAGUGUGCCACUGAGCAAAGGGAAGAGCCAGAUUAAACAUAUGGCACUUGACAUCAAAGUUAUGAAAAUGGAAUCAUCCCUUUUAUUGGAAAUCCCUCCAUUUCCUAUCUACGGUGCUUUUCCAAAUCUUCAGUGUGGGUUUAGACAACUUCUUAAUGGAAAUAAAAAGCAACUGGACAUUUCAUUCAUUGCUCAUGCAGAAAGUGAUUGUGCAAUAAUUUAGUAAAGGUACAAAGUCUGCCACAGGGACAAGGCUAUGGUUGGAGAAAUUAGUCCUGAGGGGUUGGUGGUUCUGUUUCCAGGAUGAUCAGCUGCUUUGCCCGUUUCUGGAUCAUGGGGCUCUGUGCUAUUUUGCUGAUCUUAGCCAGAAGGCUUCCAAUUAGCAAAAGCAGAGGUAGAUCCCUGUUUGCAUUAAGGCUGGUGGUUGAGAAGCUGUGUCUCUCUCCCGGCAGUGUUUGUGGAGUGGGUUUAUGCCAGGAGCCCUGAAGUGGUCCAGCACGACGCCCUGCCCGUGCUCUGGUCCUUCCUGGAGAACAAGGCGCUGCCGGUGCGAAGCGCCAAUGUCCGCACUGUGGCCACCAAGCUUGCCUCUGCCCUCUACAAGGUGAUGGGCACCAAGCUGAAGAGAUGUGCUGCCAGCCAGCCUCCACAUGUGCGGGAAAACCUCUCCAAAAUGUUGGGCUGGUGAAGGCAUGAUGUUCUCCAGAGAGAUGACAACGUGCUGAGUUGGACACCUCCAGAUCUGCCUUGUUAGCUGUGCCAAAAGAGACCAAAUGCUAAGGAAGGGUGUGCACCUGCCCCCUCUCUCUCCAUCGCCCUUCCUAGUCAUGGCAUGGGGGGCCUGAAGCAACUCCAGACCGAGGACAAAGUGAAGGCUGAUCAUGGCUCAGCCUCACACAGAGAUGUGACUGGUUACAGUCUUACUGAGAAGGUUCCUCUGGACAAUUCCCAUGGUGCCUUACCCACAAAGUCCUUGCCUGCUGUACAGAAGAGCUCUCUUUUCUCCAAGUUCAGGAAGAAGCUGCUGCCUGUAUGAAGAUUGUUUGAAGAAUAGGAUUUAUAUGUUAGGUUUUGUAGUAGAUGUACAUAUGUUCUGAUCCUUAGAUGUAGUUUUGAAUAAAUGUGUUUUGAUUGUACCUUUAAAUCUUGAUUACAUAUUUUUAAUUGUAUAUAUUUUAUACUAAUGAUGAAAAAAAAGUAAAUAAAUAAAUUAAAUUUAAAUAAACCGGGAGAAGAAUGUGA
Molecule: long non-coding RNA, 5993 nt
Organism: Passer domesticus (house sparrow)
Lineage: Eukaryota; Metazoa; Chordata; Aves; Passeriformes; Passeridae
Exons: 3
Source: RefSeq, a predicted model, not a curated record